RNAcentral lists this ribosomal RNA (105 nucleotides) under Erinaceus europaeus (western European hedgehog). The record is from RNAcentral. Lineage: Eukaryota; Metazoa; Chordata; Mammalia; Eulipotyphla; Erinaceidae.
GUCUACGGCCAUACCACCCUGAACACGCCCGAUCUCGUCUGAUCUCGGAAGAAAAAUAAGUUCUUGCAAAGUUACUGUUACAAGUAGUCAAGUUGGCUGGAGCAU